GAUGAACGCUAGCGGCAGGCUUAAUACAUGCAAGUCGAGGGGCAGCAGGACUGUAGCAAUACAGUUGCUGGCGACCGGCAAACGGGUGCGGAACACGUACGCAACCUACCCAAAACUGGGGGAUAGCCCGGGGAAACCCGGAUUAAUACCUCGUAACCUUUUUAAGUGGCAUCACUUGAUAAGUAUAGCUCCGGCGGUUUUGGAUGGGCGUGCGCCUGAUUAGGUAGUUGGUGCGGGUAACGGCCCACCACGCCUGCGAUCAGUAACUGGUGUGAGAGCACGACCAGUCACACGGGCACUGAGACACGGGCCCGACUCCUACGGGAGGCAGCAGUAAGGAAUAUUGGUCAAUGGACGCAAGUCUGAACCAGCCAUGCCGCGUGAAGGAUGAAGGUCCUCUGGAUUGUAAACUUCUUUUAUGGGGGACGAAACCCGGAUAUUCUUAUCCGAUUGACGGUACCUCAGGAAUAAGCACCGGCUAACUCCGUG
This 489-nucleotide ribosomal RNA is filed under the name uncultured bacterium. RNAcentral's name for it is "partial 16S ribosomal RNA". It matches the Rfam family "Bacterial small subunit ribosomal RNA", at positions 28 to 507 of the family's 1533-position model. The record is from RNAcentral.